GUUGCGGCAGCGCGCGCGCCCGGAGCUGGAAACCGCCGCAGUCUCGUCGAAAGUUCUAAGAGCAGAGCUUUGGUCUCGUCUAAAGAUCUUAGCUCUAAGAUCUUUGGUCUCGUCUACAAUGUGUCGAAGAUGGCGGAGGUGCUGGAGUGCCGCUCCCGUGAGUUCCGGCAGUACUACACCCCAAAGAUACUGGAGGAGCAAGAUAGACCACUAGGCGAAAAACCCUUAGUUGGUCAUGGGUAAUUUUCUCGCGCCAUUUCGGGAAUCAAAUAUAUGAGGUUUUUUUAAUCGGCUUCUGUCAUGGCGUCCACAUCUACAAGCAAAAGUGCUCGAAUCGCCAAUGUAAGUGACCCGACCUGUCUUCAGGUUCCCCACUAAAGACGAAAGCGGGUCCAGAAUACUCAUCGACAAGAUCUCCUACACCGAACUAUGGAGUACUUGUCAAAGAACUGCCGUCUUUGUUCUGAACACUUCGAUCUUGACCAGUUUUCAAACAAGCAGACCAAGAACAGGCUAAAUUGGAAUGCAGUUCCAACGCUCUUUGACAUCCUGAACCCACUGAAACGUCUGUCCUCUCAACGCAGGAUACUCAAGAGGAGGAAUGAGAACCUCCCAUCUGCACCAAAGCAUUCAAUGCAGCAAAUUGUGAUUUGUUAGCCUCACAAAAUAACGCAAAUGACAAUUUAUUUAUUAUUGUAUAUACGUUGGACAUUUUGUCCUUUGGGGUAAGCAGGGGUGGGGGUUUGAAAUUAUACUCCUGCAAAAUCCAAUGGACUGACGUGGAUUAAACACCUCUGGUAUCUUUGGAUUAAACUACGAGAGGCAUAACGGAGGUCGGGGUCUUAUUCCUAAAAUGGCGGAAGUCAUGUUCCGUUGCGUACUUCACGUCAGUCCAUUGGAUUUUGUAGGAAUGGUCUAUCUUGCUCCUCUAGUAUCUUUGCUACACCCCUGCUUGAAAUUGUUUGAAAUACAUUGAAUUUUACAUCACUUUCAUUGGUUAGCUGAUAUGCGAAACACUGCAACCCUGUAUAUCUCACACAUAAAACAAUGUAAAUUAUGUAAAUCUUACCAUGAAUGACAGAAAUAACAAGUGUUAUCCAUUUUUAUGAAUUUUGAUGUAGAAUUAUUUAAAAUUGAGUGGAUUGAUGUAAUAUACUGCUAACCCACAAAUGUGUCAUUAUGAGAUAUUCACAUUUACAAACUCGCUCAGUAGCUCGGGUGGCUGUGAACAGCCGCUGGGACCAGACAGCGGAACUGCAGCUAGACCCGGAGGGUCCUGGCCCCUUUGCAAAAAAGGCUGCCGACCCCUGGACUAAACCAAACCCUCGAUCCUGUCCUGCCAGCCUUUUUUCAAAAUUUAGCAACUCAAAUAGUGGCGCAUCUUCAUUGCUGGGAAAUACAGUAACUAAUUUCCCUCAAAUAUAUGUUAGAUUUUCCUCAAAUGUAUGUUUAAUUAAAAACUAAACUAUGGUAGCAAUACAUAGUAUUCAUGUCUAAAGCUCGCACUUCUGCAUCAAUGUAGGUAUGUAUACACUACAUUUCAUUACACUAAUAUAGAAUGUAAAAAUAUCUUGGCGUGUGUUCAUUGAUAUUUUAUUCACAAUAUUAGGAUUUUAGAGAGAGAGGUUGAAUGAAAGAAAGAAAAAAAGGUUCAAUUAGAGGAGAUCACAAGAAAGAAACUAGAGAAAUAUAUAUGUGUGUUAUAUAUUUAUAUACAUAUAUAUCACACAUAUAUACGCAUCAUAUAUAUAAUGAAUAUGUGUGUGUGUGUG
This is a long non-coding RNA of Leucoraja erinaceus (little skate), 1772 nucleotides long. RefSeq lists it as uncharacterized. The transcript is spliced from 3 exons. The record is from RefSeq and is a predicted model, not a curated record. NCBI's taxonomy places the organism in Eukaryota, Metazoa, Chordata, Chondrichthyes, Rajiformes, Rajidae.